Molecule: ribosomal RNA, 800 nt
Filed under: uncultured bacterium
Lineage: Bacteria
Description: bacterial SSU rRNA
Rfam family: Bacterial small subunit ribosomal RNA
Source: RNAcentral
AGAGUUUGAUCCUGGCUCAGAAUCAACGCUGGCGGCGUGCCUCAGACAUGCAAGUCGAACGAUUAAAGCUCUCUUCGGAGAGUGUAUAGAGUGGCGCACGGGUGAGUAACACGUAAGUAAUCUACCUUUGAGUGGGGAAUAACGUCCGGAAACGGACGCUAAUACCGCAUAAUGCAGCGGCAUCGCAAGAUGACAGUUGUUAAAGAUUUAUCGCUUGAAGAGGAGCUUGCGGCAGAUUAGCUAGUUGGUAAGGUAAUGGCUUACCAAGGCUACGAUCUGUAACCGGUCUAAGAGGACGGUCGGUCACACUGACACUGAAUAACGGGUCAGACUCCUGCGGGAGGCAGCAGUCGGGAAUUUUGGGCAAUGGGCGAAAGCCUGACCCAGCAACGCCGCGUGAAGGAUGAAGUAUUUCGGUAUGUAAACUUCGAAAGAAUGGGAAGAAUAAAUGACGGUACCAUUUAUAAGGUCCGGCUAACUACGUGCCAGCAGCCGCGGUAAUACGUAGGGACCAAGCGUUGUUCGGAUUUACUGGGCGUAAAGGGCGCGUAGGCGGCCCUACAAGUCACUUGUGAAAUCUCCGGGCUUAACUCGGAAUGGCCAAGUGAAACUGUAAGGCUAGAGUGCAGAAGGGGCAAUCGGAAUUCUUGGUGUAGCGGUGAAAUGCGUAGAUAUCAAGAGGAACACCUGAGGUGAAGACGGGUUGCUGGGCUGACACUGACGCUGAGGCGCGAAAGCCAGGGGAGCAAACGGGAUUAGAUACCCCGGUAGUCCUGGCCCUAAACGAUGAAUACUUGGUG